CCUACGGGCGGCUGCAGUGGGGAAUAUUGCACAAUGGGCGAAAGCCUGAUGCAGCAACGCCGCGUGAAGGAAGACGGUUUUCGGAUUGUAAACCUCUAUCAACAGGGAAGAAAGAAACGACGGUAGCUAAAUAAGCAGCCGCGGCCAACUACGCGCCAGCAGCCGCGGUAAUACGUAGGGGGCAAGUGUUAUCCGGAAUUACUGGGUGUAAAGGGAGAGUAGGCGGCAAGGUAAGCGUUAAGUGAAAGCCUUAGGCUUAACCAAAGGAUUGUAUAACGAACUGUCUAGCUGGAGUGCAGGAGAGGAAAGCGGAAUUCCUAGUGUAGCGGUGAAAUGCGUAGAUAUUAGGAAGAACACCAGUGGCGAAGGCGGCUUUCUGGACUGAAACUGACGCUGAGGCUCGAAAGCGUGGGGAGCGAACAGGAUUAGAUACCCUUGUAGUC
This 443-nucleotide ribosomal RNA is filed under the name uncultured bacterium. RNAcentral's name for it is "partial 16S ribosomal RNA". It matches the Rfam family "Bacterial small subunit ribosomal RNA", at positions 338 to 795 of the family's 1533-position model. The record is from RNAcentral.